Molecule: ribosomal RNA, 1295 nt
Filed under: Micrococcus sp.
Lineage: Bacteria; Bacillati; Actinomycetota; Actinomycetes; Micrococcales; Micrococcaceae
Description: bacterial SSU rRNA
Rfam family: Bacterial small subunit ribosomal RNA
Source: RNAcentral
UUUGAUCCUGGCUCAGGAUGAACGCUGGCGGCGUGCUUAACACAUGCAAGUCGAACGAUGAAGCCCAGCUUGCUGGGUGGAUUAGUGGCGAACGGGUGAGUAACACGUGAGUAACCUGCCCUUGACUCUGGGAUAAGCCUGGGAAACUGGGUCUAAUACUGGAUAUGACUUCUCACCGCAUGGUGGGGGGUGGAAAGAUUUAUUGGUCUUGGAUGGACUCGCGGCCUAUCAGCUUGUUGGUGAGGUAAUGGCUCACCAAGGCGACGACGGGUAGCCGGCCUGAGAGGGUGACCGGCCACACUGGGACUGAGACACGGCCCAGACUCCUACGGGAGGCAGCAGUGGGGAAUAUUGCACAAUGGGCGCAAGCCUGAUGCAGCGACGCCGCGUGAGGGAUGACGGCCUUCGGGUUGUAAACCUCUUUCAGUAGGGAAGAAGCGAAAGUGACGGUACCUGCAGAAGAAGCGCCGGCUAACUACGUGCCAGCAGCCGCGGUAAUACGUAGGGCGCGAGCGUUAUCCGGAAUUAUUGGGCGUAAAGAGCUCGUAGGCGGUUUGUCGCGUCUGCCGUGAAAGUCCGGGGCUUAACCCCGGAUCUGCGGUGGGUACGGGCAGACUAGAGUGCAGUAGGGGAGACUGGAAUUCCUGGUGUAGCGGUGAAAUGCGCAGAUAUCAGGAGGAACACCGAUGGCGAAGGCAGGUCUCUGGGCUGUAACUGACGCUGAGGAGCGAAAGCAUGGGGAGCGAACAGGAUUAGAUACCCUGGUAGUCCAUGCCGUAAACGUUGGGCACUAGGUGUGGGGGACAUUCCACGUUUUCCGCGCCGUAGCUAACGCAUUAAGUGCCCCGCCUGGGGAGUACGGCCGCAAGGCUAAAACUCAAAGGAAUUGACGGGGGCCCGCACAAGCGGCGGAGCAUGCGGAUUAAUUCGAUGCAACGCGAAGAACCUUACCAAGGCUUGACAUGUUCCUGACCGCCGUAGAGAUACGGUUUCCCCUUUGGGGCAGGUUCACAGGUGGUGCAUGGUUGUCGUCAGCUCGUGUCGUGAGAUGUUGGGUUAAGUCCCGCAACGAGCGCAACCCUCGUUCCAUGUUGCCAGCACGUAGUGGUGGGGACUCAUGGGAGACUGCCGGGGUCAACUCGGAGGAAGGUGGGGACGACGUCAAAUCAUCAUGCCCCUUAUGUCUUGGGCUUCACGCAUGCUACAAUGGCCGGUACAAUGGGUUGCGAUACUGUGAGGUGGAGCUAAUCCCAAAAAGCCGGUCUCAGUUCGGAUUGGGGUCUGCAACUCGACCC